CCUACGGGUGGCAGCAGUGGGGAAUAUUGCACAAUGGGGGAAACCCUGAUGCAGCAACGCCGCGUGGGUGAAGGAGCGUUUCGGCGCGUAAAGCCCUGUCAGCGGGGAAGAAGAAAGACGGUACCCGACCAAGAAGCCCCGGCUAACUAAGUGCCAGCAGCCGCGGUAAUCCGUAGGGGGCGAGCGUUAUCCGGAAUUACUGGGUGUAAAGGGAUCGUAGACGGCGAGGUAAGCCGGAAGUGGAAGCCCGCGGCCCAACCGCGGAACUGCUUUGGGAACUGUUGUGCUGGAGGAUGGGAGGGGUAAGCGGAAUUCUUGGUGUAGCGGGGAAAGGCGUAGAUAUCAGGAGGAACACCGGUGGCGAAGGCGGCUUACUGGACCAUAACUGACGUUGAGGCUCGAAAGCGUGGGGAGCGAACAGGAUUAGAUACCCUGGUGUC
RNAcentral lists this ribosomal RNA (440 nucleotides) under uncultured bacterium. RNAcentral describes it as "partial 16S ribosomal RNA". It matches the Rfam family "Bacterial small subunit ribosomal RNA", at positions 338 to 795 of the family's 1533-position model. The record is from RNAcentral.